GGAAGCCUGAAACAGGUGGUGCAUGGCUGUCGUCAGCUCGUGUCGUGAGAUGUUGGGUUAAGUCCCGCAACGAGCGCAACCCUCGUCGCAUGUUGCCAGCGGUUCGGCCGGGCACCCAUGCGAGACCGCCGGCGUUAAGCCGGAGGAAGGUGGGGACGACGUCAAGUCAUCAUGCCCCUUAUGUCUUGGGCUACACACGUACUACAAUGGUCGGCAACAAAGGGCAGCGAAACCGCGAGGUGGAGCAAAUCCCAUAAACCCGGCCUCAGUUCAGACNGUNGGCUGCAACCCGCCUACGCGAAGUCGGAAUCGCUAGUAAUCGCAGGUCAGCAUACUGCGGUGAAUACGUUCCCGGGCCUUGUACACACCGCCCGUCACACCACGAAAGUUGGUAACACCCGAAGCCGGUGAGAUAACUCGCAAGAGAGUCAGCUGUNUAAGGUGGGGCCGAUGAUUGGGGUGAAGUCGUAACAAGGUAGCCGUUUGAGAACGAGCGGCUGGAUCACCU
RNAcentral lists this ribosomal RNA (508 nucleotides) under uncultured Clostridia bacterium. RNAcentral's name for it is "bacterial SSU rRNA". It matches the Rfam family "Bacterial small subunit ribosomal RNA", at positions 1023 to 1528 of the family's 1533-position model. The record is from RNAcentral. Lineage: Bacteria; Bacillati; Bacillota; Clostridia.